AGUCGAGCGAACAGACGAGGAGCUUGCUCCUUUGAUGUUAGCGGCGGACGGGUGAGUAACACGUAGGUAACCUACCUAUAAGACUGGGAUAACUUCGGGAAACCGGAGCUAAUACCGGAUAAUAUUUCGAACCGCAUGGUUCGAUAGUGAAAGAUGGCUUUGCUAUCACUUAUAGAUGGACCUGCGCCGUAUUAGCUAGUUGGUAAGGUAACGGCUUACCAAGGCAACGAUACGUAGCCGACCUGAGAGGGUGAUCGGCCACACUGGAACUGAGACACGGUCCAGACUCCUACGGGAGGCAGCAGUAGGGAAUCUUCCGCAAUGGGCGAAAGCCUGACGGAGCAACGCCGCGUGAGUGAUGAAGGUCUUCGGAUCGUAAAACUCUGUUAUUAGGGAAGAACAAACGUGUAAGUAACUGUGCACGUCUUGACGGUACCUAAUCAGAAAGCCACGGCUAACUACGUGCCAGCAGCCGCGGUAAUACGUAGGUGGCAAGCGUUAUCCGGAAUUAUUGGGCGUAAAGCGCGCGUAGGCGGUUUUUUAAGUCUGAUGUGAAAGCCCACGGCUCAACCGUGGAGGGUCAUUGGAAACUGGAAAACUUGAGUGCAGAAGAGGAAAGUGGAAUUCCAUGUGUAGCGGUGAAAUGCGCAGAGAUAUGGAGGAACACCAGUGGCGAAGGCGACUUUCUGGUCUGUAACUG
RNAcentral lists this ribosomal RNA (700 nucleotides) under uncultured Staphylococcus sp. RNAcentral describes it as "bacterial SSU rRNA". It matches the Rfam family "Bacterial small subunit ribosomal RNA", at positions 60 to 742 of the family's 1533-position model. Lineage: Bacteria; Bacillati; Bacillota; Bacilli; Caryophanales; Staphylococcaceae. The record is from RNAcentral.